GAUGAACGCUGGCGGCGUGCCUAAUACAUGCAAGUCGAGCGAACAGACGCGGAGCUUGCUUUUCUGACGUUAGCGGCGGACGGGUGAGUAACACGUGGAUAACCUACCUAUAAGACUGGGAUAACUUCGGGAAACCGGAGCUAAUACCGGAUAAUAUCUUGAACCGCAUGGUUCGAUAGUGAAAGACGGUUUUGCUGUCACUUAUAGAUGGAUCCGCGCUGCAUUAGCUAGUUGGUAAGGUAACGGCUUACCAAGGCAACGAUGCGUAGCCGACCUGAGAGGGUGAUCGGCCACACUGGAGCUGAGACACGGUCCAGGCUCCUACGGGAGGCAGCAGUAGGGAAUCUUCCGCAAUGGGCGAAAGCCUGACAGAGCAACGCCGCGUGAGUGAUGAAGGUCUUCGGAUCGUAAAACUCUGUUAUUAGGGAAGAACAGAUGUGUAAGUAACUGUGCACGUCUUGACGGUACCUAAUCAGAAAGCCACGGCUAACUACGUG
Molecule: ribosomal RNA, 497 nt
Filed under: uncultured bacterium
Lineage: Bacteria
Description: partial 16S ribosomal RNA
Rfam family: Bacterial small subunit ribosomal RNA
Source: RNAcentral